GGGGGCAUGGUGUAAUGGUAACACAGCGGUCUCCAAAACCGCGGCUCGAGGUUCGAUUCCUUGUGCCCCCG
Molecule: transfer RNA, 71 nt
Filed under: Elusimicrobia bacterium CG1_02_63_36
Lineage: Bacteria; Pseudomonadati; Elusimicrobiota
Also listed under: 3 other names
Description: tRNA-Trp
Rfam family: tRNA
About the family: Transfer RNA (tRNA) molecules are approximately 80 nucleotides in length. Their secondary structure includes four short double-helical elements and three loops (D, anti-codon, and T loops).
Source: RNAcentral